This 2705-nucleotide small RNA is filed under the name Pan troglodytes (chimpanzee). Its description in RNAcentral is "retained intron". The record is from RNAcentral. Lineage: Eukaryota; Metazoa; Chordata; Mammalia; Primates; Hominidae.
AGAAAGUCCGUUGGAACCGUCUGCUGCACCCUGGUCUCUGGAGAUGAGGCAGGAGGGCUUGGGGACAGCUGGGGACACGGCCCAGAUGAUCCGGUCCCGGCAGAAGUGACUGGCGGGGACCAGGAUGCUGGAGGGUCAGCUCGAGGCCGGGGAGCCCAAGGAGGGCACCCACCCAGAGGACCCGUGCCCGGGAGCUGGGGCUGCCAUGGAGAAGACACCUGCAGCAGCCGAGGUCCCCAGGGAGGACGGCAAUGCCGGGGAGAUGCCGUCAUUACAGCAGCAGAUCACCAGACUCCACCAAGAGCUCGGGAGACAGCAGUCGCUGUGGGCUGAUGUUCACAGAAAACUCCAGAGUCAUAUGGAUGCCUUGAGGAAGCAGAACCGGGAGCUCCGAGAAGAGCUGAGAGAUCUGCAGCGGCAGCAGUGGGAAGCCGGGAAGAAACCAGCAGCGUCCCCACACGCGGGGCGAGAAUCACACACUCUGGCAUUGGAAUCUGCUUUUGGAAAAAUUUCACCUCUGUCAGCUGAUGAAGAGACAACGCCCAAAUACGCUGGCCGCAAGAGUCAGAGUGCCACUCUCCUGGGACAAAGAUCGUCAUCUAACCACUUAGCUCCUCCAAAGGUGACCCUUCGUGCUUAUCGUCUGUAAAGAGCAGCAGAGCUUCUGUAUGCAAACACACACAUCCCAUCAGCUCCUCACCACACAGUUUCACCUCCCUGGGUGAGCGUGGUGCUCCCUGGAGUCCUGCGUUUUUCCAAGGACAUGGGUGCAUGCCUUUCAAACAAGAUCCUAAACCACAGCACUUCCUGCUGUAGGGCAGAUUCCAAGUCCUCCCAGCUGCUUCCCUCUGAGUGCACUCACGGCAGCAAGUGUCUGGCUGGGGCCGAGUGGACUCGGGGGCUUUGUUUCCGUGGGUGCCACCCACGGAGGUGAUAUGCGUGGCGCUCUCGCCACGCGCCAUGGCCCGUGCGUCUGGGGGCUCGCAGCCUCCCACAAUCCCUGCUUCUGCACUGCGGUCUUGCACCUGCUGCUUGUCAGCGUGGACUCCUCUGAACAGGGGCUGUGCUGCUUGCUUGGGGGCCAUGGUGCAGGAUGCUAUUUUGUCUCCAUCACAUUUUUCCUUGUUAAAAUUAGCUCCUCUUUAGAACAUUCUGCUGGCCAGUGUGUCUCUUCCCGUCCCAGCUUUGUGUCACCCUCACACUCAGGAGGCAAAUCUCAUGAGUCCUGAGCGAGCAACUGAUACUGGGUCGAUGUGGAUGGAGAAGACUGCCCCCCAACUCCUGAAGAUGAUUUAUCCCCUCACUUCUUUCCCAAAGCAACUGCUGAGCAGAUAACACUUUAUUCCCUGAAGGAAGAUCAGAAAUCUACUCCAAGCGUUUGUCACAAGUAGGAAAAUAGUCCUUUCAGAUCCUAUGAGUACAAAACAUCGAAAGUCCCAGGACAGACUGCAUAGGUCCAGCCUCCUGUGAGACGCGGACUUCUCUCACGCUUCUGCAUUGACCUGAGUUAAUCACACGCGUGCCGGGCAAUGUACGAGUAAAUAGAUAACUGAAUGGGUGGCUUAUCCACGCCUCCAAACCCUGAAUUUUUAAACAGCAGAAAAGUAGAACAUUAUUUUCAUUAUGCAUUUUUGAAUUGAGUUUCAAGUACUUUAUUUCACUGUUGACUAUUCUACAAUGUCAGCCAUACCGUCCCUGAAUUCCUCAAGAGCGUGGCUGUAAAAUGGGGAAUGAGAGCAUGGAUGCCUCGUGUGUCCUUCUGUAGGAAGCGGGGGUAGAAUCCUCUAGAUUCUGUGGUAGCUGGUGUGAUGUGUUGCUUAACAUUUUAAAAUAAUAUGAUGGUUACUAAUGCAACCACAUUUAUUUUCAGCCAAUGAGUUUAAAGACAGAAAGAAUUAACUCGGGGAAAACAUCACCACAGGAAGACAGAGAGAAAAGUCCUCCCGGGAGACGUCAAGACAGAAGUCCAGCACCCACUGGAAGGCCGACUCCCGGUGCAGAAAGACGGGGGGUGUCUGAAGACGGAAAGGUUAUGCAUCCAUCUUCCCGAAGUCCGCAAAACUCCAGUGGCAGAAAAUCACCAGUGCAGGCUUCCCAGGCCCCCACGCUGCAGAAGCAGACGGCAGCAGCCGGAGGAGCUGACAGAAGCUCAUCAGUCUUAGGGAGUUCUGAAGGCGGAUUUCUCAGCCGCGUUCAAGCUGACGAGUUCGCCAGUUCUUCCCCAGACAGUGCAGAGCGGCAGGUAGGUGGCUGAGUGGCUUCUGUGAGGGCGGCCCACCCGGUUCCCCUCAGGGAGACCUGAGAAGGUGACCUUUUCGUCCUGGGGAAGUGAGAUUCAGAGCGGGCGUCACGAGAUGGUUGCAUCUUCCCAUCUUCUCAACAAGAACAGAAAAUUAAGAUGAUUCCAAAUAUCUCUUUAUUUCCUGAAGCUCAGCCUUUCAAACAGAGACUUUUUUUUAAUAGAUUUAAGUUGGUUGCAUUUAGCACAUAGUCAAACAAGAUUAAUGUUUUUUAUGACUUAAGAGUUCCCCUAGUCAGAGUUUCAUUUUUAUCAUUUUGAUUUACAGUUCUCAGUUGACAUUAAUAGACUCGAAGGCAAGAAUAGCAAACAUACUUCUAAGCCCUAGCUAGGGCCCACUUGUAACAUGCUAUAUUUUACAAAAAAAAAAAAAGGUCAAUAAAAUGAAAUUAUUUUCUCUACGCCA